Eriocheir sinensis (Chinese mitten crab) is the source of this 1720-nucleotide long non-coding RNA. RefSeq lists it as uncharacterized. The transcript has 2 exons. The record is from RefSeq and is a predicted model, not a curated record. NCBI's taxonomy places the organism in Eukaryota, Metazoa, Arthropoda, Malacostraca, Decapoda, Varunidae.
UAUAGAUGUGAUCAAGAGACCAUCGGCUUCCCGAAAGAAAUGCUUGAAGCUGUCCAGAUAACAAUAGAUUCAAAGAUUCUUGAAGCACUGCAGAAUUUGUCUCAAGAUAUGGAGGAACUGGAAACAGAACACACUGCCUUGGUGUCCCUGUUGAGUCAGGUAUUGGAACAGAGUCAGCACCUACUGGAGAAGAAUGAACAAACAGUGCUGGAGACUCAAGCACUUUGCACGCUGGACUCCUUCUGCAAGAAGAUUGCCGUCCUUAUUUCUAUGAAGAAAGUUCCCCUCCAGAAAGCCUCGCCGAAUGACCUCUCUUCCCUAAAAAUGCUCAAAGAUGUAAAUGCUGCUACAAAAUCCCUUGAGAGUGAUAUGGACAAAGAAAUUGACUUACUAAACAUAUAAGUGUGGAAGACAUAAAGCAAGCUAACUUUAUGCAAUCAGCAUGGCUAACCAGGUCACAUAAUUACUUCAGAUGAACACAUAGAUUAAGAGUUUUAUCUGUUUUCCUGUUUCUUAAAUAUUUAUAAAGCAGUGAAUAUGCAGUAUAUUAAGAUGGAAAUGUUGGAAAAAUAUUUUAGGCUGUGGUCAAUUACUCUUUGAUUAUAAUAAAGUAUUGUGAUGAUCACACAGUAGUUGUUCUUAGAUAAUAGUUGGUGUUUUCUAUCUUAUUAAAACAUAUAUUUUUACUAAUUAAUUUUAAUUAUGAAUGACAUUUGAUAACUGUUCCUAUGACCAGAAUCUGUAAAUAUAUCUCUUUAGUACACAUGUACUCCCUCCACCCAUGUGGAUGCACUGCAACAACUGCUGAUCAUGAUGGUGAAAGCCAUGUUGUUGAAACCUAUUCCUACCCCACUAAAUGCUUAGUUGGUACCAAGAUUGCCAAAAGUCACACUUUUUUUCUUUUUAAUACUACCUGUGUUUUUUAGUGUUGGUCAUGCACAGAUAUAAUCAGUAACCCCCUUCCCCCUGCCCCCUUCUUUCCCAGAAAACGACAGGGGAUAGGUCCUGAGUGCCUGUGGGGCCUCCCUUAUCCAUAUGAAUUACCACCCAUUCAAGGAUUCCCUCAUCCAUGUGAAUUACCACCCAUUUAAGGAUUCCCUCCCUUAUCCAUAUGAAUUACCACCCAUUCAAGGAUUCCCUCCCUUAUCCAUAUGAAUUACCACCCAUUCAAGGAUUCCCUCCCUUAUCCAUAUGAAUUACCACCCAUUCAAGGAUUUCCUCCCUUCUCCAUAUGAAUUAUCACCCAUUCAAGGAUGGCUCAACUAACCUUGGCUAACUUCAUCAUCCCACCACACUUUCCGCAAUCCUACCCCACACCCUGCCACCCGGUCACAGACAAGAUGUUUAGUGUGAUUCCUUUAUGCUCUCUUUUGCAUUAAUUUCCACUGAUAUAUGUUAUUCUCAUUGUAUUAAUAAAAAUUUAUGAACUACAUGAUAAUUAAGAGAAUCUAUGAGCUCUAUAUAACAAGCAAGUCUUGAUUUUCUACAGCUAGUCAGCUGCUAUUAGUUGGCUUAUUUGCCAGUGUGUUACUAAAUGCCAGUACAAUAAGAAAACCAGAGAAUGAAAACCGAAUUCCUUCUUUCACCUCAACUGACUAUUUAUUCAUCAUUGUACGAUAAGGAUAUAUUAGUCUCCAAUACUACUGUACAAUGCUCUUCAAUUUUGUCUUUCAACCGUCCAUGCUCCUCAGUUUAAUCAUUAAAAAAGAUUUUUCCAAGA